CGGGCAGGCCGGGCAGCCGCCGGGGGCGAUCCGUCGCCCCGGGAGGAAAGUCCGGGCUCCACAGGGCGCGGCGCUGGGCAGUUCCCAGCGGGGGAAACCCCGGGCAAGCGCAACAGAAAGGAGACCGCCUGAAAAGGCAAGGGUGAAAGGGUGAGGUAAGAGCUCACCGGCCGCCCGGGCGACCGGGCGGGCCAGGCAAGCCCCGUCGGGAGCAAGACCAAGCAGGGGACCACAAGGCUGCCCGUCUUGUCCUCGGGUUGGUCGCUUGAGCGCAAGGGAAACCUUGCGCCUAGAUGAAUGGCUGCCGGCCCGGCCCCGCGAGGGGCCGGGCUUACAGAACCCGGCUUACAGGCCUACCCGGAUU
Molecule: RNase P RNA, 364 nt
Filed under: Deltaproteobacteria bacterium
Lineage: Bacteria; Pseudomonadati; Myxococcota; Myxococcia
Description: RNase P RNA component class A
Rfam family: Bacterial RNase P class A
About the family: Ribonuclease P (RNase P) is a ubiquitous endoribonuclease, found in archaea, bacteria and eukarya as well as chloroplasts and mitochondria.
Source: RNAcentral